UUACGAGCGUCAAUUUGGAGCUUGUAGGUGGAAGAGGACUCAAAGUCGAGAGGCUGUUAGGAGACCAGUGGCGACGUUAGAAAAAAACAGGGAUAAUGGAGGAAAAUAAGACAGGAGGUCAUGGCAGCGCCCUCCGAAGUGAGCGUAACACCUGAAUUCGUCCAUCGGCGGCGUCAAUGGAGAAGGGGUUGAGUGUCUCGUCUGGACCCUGGGACACGAUGGAGUAUGUAAGAUGAGCAUUCAGUGUCCCGUGUUCAUCCGCGUCAUUGGCCAACAGCUGUCCUAUCAGGCUGCCUGGAAACACCAGAACCAGAAUGUGCGUUGUCAUUCACAUCCUCCACCAAGACUUGAAUCUCCAUGGGUGGAUCUACCUCCCUCCCAGUGUUAUCUGUUGCUAUCACCACCAGGAUGUACUGAAACAGAAUCAACGCCAGUUCAAGAGUGAUCCUUAGAA
Scatophagus argus is the source of this 454-nucleotide long non-coding RNA. RefSeq lists it as uncharacterized. The record is from RefSeq and is a predicted model, not a curated record. Lineage: Eukaryota; Metazoa; Chordata; Actinopteri; Scatophagidae. The transcript has 3 exons.